ACUUAUUCAUCCACUUAUCCAAUCGUAUAUAUUCAAUUUUUUUUAUUCAAAGUGAACAUUGUUUUUGCAUGAACUUUUAUAAACGUUUACGUUUACUAUGCUAUUAUUCGCUCUUUUUAAAAAAAAGUGUAGAUAUACAUAAUAUACCAUAUAUAUUUAUAUGUUUUCUCUUAUUCACAUACUUAUUUACUUACGUAUUUACUUACAAUAAUUAAUUUUUUACGCGUUAACUUUUUUGCCGUAAUAUCCUUACGUAAUGACUAUUUUUUAAACAAAGCUAAACACAUAUAUAUUUAUAUAUAUAUAUAUAUAUAUAUAUAUAACAAAAACAUAUAACAACAUUCUUUUUUUUUUUUUUUUUUUUUUUAACUUAAUAAGAACACUUAAAAAAAAUAUAUUAAAUGCAAUGGAUUUAUACCAUUAGAAAUAGCCUUAAUAUAAUUGAUUUUGUAUAAUACAUAUAUAUAUAUAUAUAUAUAUAUAUAUAUAUAUAAAAUAACCGAAUAAGACCCAUAUAAGUUUACCUUUAAAAUGAGCCAAAAUGGGGAUUAUAAUCAUUUAGCAGAAGAUAACUCCAAUAUUAUUGCUAAUUCUUCUGCUCCCGUAGCCAAUAUGCUUGACGGUAAAAUAAAUGACACAAACGUAAAUGCAAAUAAAAAAGUGUCAGCUAAUAAUGAAACCAAUUCUGAAAAUGUAAAUGGAGAACACUUUUAUUUGAAUGGGGACACAAAUGAAAAUAUACAAACAUUAAAUAAUCAUAUUAAUUUACAAAAACAAAUGCCUAACAUACCAAAUAUUAAUAACAUAUAUAACGAUGUUAAUAAUAACAAUAAACAAAAUGAUUCAAACGCGACAGUUCAUAAUACUCAACAAUAUGAUAAUACUAAUGGUGCUAAUUUGGCUGAUAUGUCAGAAAAUAAAAAAAUGCACCUAUUAAUGUUAAUAAUUUUAUGCCUUCUAUAAACACUUUUUUUACAAAACGUUUUACCCCCUAUGUUACCAACAGUGUCACCAAACAUGUCUAAUAAUGUACAAAAUGCAACACGUGGUAUGCCACCCAAUAUGACAGGCAUACCGGGUAUGCCCCCCCCUCCUCAUCUUCUUAACAUGCCGUUUAAUUUACCACCAAAUAUGACUCAUCUACCACCGAACAUGGCUCAUCUACCACCGAACAUGGCU
Molecule: long non-coding RNA, 1179 nt
Filed under: Piliocolobus tephrosceles (Ugandan red Colobus)
Lineage: Eukaryota; Metazoa; Chordata; Mammalia; Primates; Cercopithecidae
Description: lncRNA (ENSPTEG00000020740.1)
Source: RNAcentral